AGCGAACGCUGGCGGCAGGCUUAAUACAUGCAAGUCGAGCGCCUGUAGCAAUACAGGAGCGGCAGACGGGAGAGUAACACGUGGGAACGUGCCCUUUGGUUCGGAACAACACAGGGAAACUUGUGCUAAUACCGGAUAAGCCCUUACGGGGAAAGAUUUAUUGCCAAAGGAUCGGCCCGCGUCUGAUUAGCUAGUUGGUGGGGUAAUGGCCCACCAAGGCGACGAUCAGUAGCUGGCUGAGAGGAUGAUCAGCCUCAUUGGGACUGAGACACGGCCCAAACUCCUACGGGAGGCAGCAGUAGGGAAUAUUGGACAAUGGGCGCAAGCCUGAUCCAGCCAUGCCGCGUGAGUGAUG
This 355-nucleotide ribosomal RNA is filed under the name uncultured bacterium. RNAcentral describes it as "bacterial SSU rRNA". It matches the Rfam family "Bacterial small subunit ribosomal RNA", at positions 29 to 410 of the family's 1533-position model. The record is from RNAcentral.